Ctenocephalides felis (cat flea) is the source of this 284-nucleotide long non-coding RNA. RefSeq lists it as uncharacterized. The transcript is spliced from 3 exons. Lineage: Eukaryota; Metazoa; Arthropoda; Insecta; Siphonaptera; Pulicidae. The record is from RefSeq and is a predicted model, not a curated record.
UGAACGUGGACUUUUAGUUUGUGAGAUGGCGAUUAACGGAUAGAUUAAUGGAUUUAUAAUAAAUGAAAUUUAAUAUAAUGCAAAACUAUAAACUUUAAACUAUGACUUUCUUAAAAAAAUGUGGUGUGGAAGUGUUUUACAUGUUCUCAGAGUUUAAAAAAAAAUCCUAGAGUCAAAAUGUAUAGCACGGAAUAUUUUACAAAGAAUACGACUCGAUUUUCAACUACCGAAAAUCGAGGCCAAAUGACUCCAAAUGACCCAAAUAGAGGAAGUGGGUCCUUCGG